Molecule: long non-coding RNA, 157 nt
Organism: Juglans microcarpa x Juglans regia
Lineage: Eukaryota; Viridiplantae; Streptophyta; Magnoliopsida; Fagales; Juglandaceae
Exons: 3
Source: RefSeq, a predicted model, not a curated record
GGGAAGAUCAGAAAAUUAGAAACACGUGAACUUACAUGAACGUGUAACAGUGGUGAUUCUCCGAUCUCCCAUGUACAAGGGGUGAAAAUAACUAUUAAAACUUUUUUUAUCCAAAUUCGACAUGCAUGUAUUCAUUAGAAGCGUAACAAGUAUCUUC